This 301-nucleotide ribosomal RNA is filed under the name uncultured bacterium. Its description in RNAcentral is "partial 16S ribosomal RNA". It matches the Rfam family "Bacterial small subunit ribosomal RNA", at positions 509 to 809 of the family's 1533-position model. The record is from RNAcentral.
CAGUCGCCGCGGUAAUACAGAGGCCUCAAGCGUUGUUCGGAUUCAUUGGGCGUAAAGGGUGCGUAGGUGGCUUGGUAAGUUGAAGGUGAAAUCUCGGGGCUUAACCCCGAAACUGCCUUCAAUACUGCUAGGCUCGAGGACUGUAGAGGAGAAUGGAAUUCACGGUGUAGCAGUGAAAUGCGUAGAUAUCGUGAGGAAGACCAGUGGCGAAGGCGAUUCUCUGGGCAGUUCCUGACACUGAGGCACGAAGGCCAGGGGAGCAAACGGGAUUAGAUACCCGUGUAGUCCCUGUCUCUUAUAA